This 356-nucleotide ribosomal RNA is filed under the name uncultured Pseudomonas sp. RNAcentral describes it as "bacterial SSU rRNA". It matches the Rfam family "Bacterial small subunit ribosomal RNA", at positions 1028 to 1382 of the family's 1533-position model. Lineage: Bacteria; Pseudomonadati; Pseudomonadota; Gammaproteobacteria; Pseudomonadales; Pseudomonadaceae. The record is from RNAcentral.
UCUGACACAGGUGCUGCAUGGCUGUCGUCAGCUCGUGUCGUGAGAUGUUGGGUUAAGUCCCGUAACGAGCGCAACCCUUGUCCUUAGUUACCAGCACGUUAUGGUGGGCACUCUAAGGAGACUGCCGGUGACAAACCGGAGGAAGGUGGGGGAUGACGUCAAGUCAUCAUGGCCCUUACGGCCUGGGCUACACACGUGCUACAAUGGUCGGUACAAAGGGUUGCCAAGCCGCGAGGUGGAGCUAAUCCCAUAAAACCGAUCGUAGUCCGGAUCGCAGUCUGCAACUCGACUGCGUGAAGUCGGAAUCGCUAGUAAUCGUGAAUCAGAAUGUCACGGUGAAUACGUUCCCGGGCCUU